Molecule: ribosomal RNA, 253 nt
Filed under: uncultured bacterium
Lineage: Bacteria
Description: partial 16S ribosomal RNA
Rfam family: Bacterial small subunit ribosomal RNA
Source: RNAcentral
UACGAAGGGUGCAAGCGUUAGUCGGAAUUACUGGGCGUAAAGCGUGCGUAGGCGGUCUCUUAAGUCCAUUGUGAAAGCCCUGGGCUCAACCUGGGAACUGCAGUGGAUACUGAGAAGCUAGAGUGUGUCAGAGGAUGGUGGAAUUCCCGGUGUAGCGGUGAAAUGCGUAGAGAUCGGGAGGAACAUCAGUGGCGAAGGCGGCCAUCUGGGACAACACUGACGCUGAGGCACGAAAGCGUGGGGAGCAAACAGG